RNAcentral lists this ribosomal RNA (492 nucleotides) under uncultured bacterium. RNAcentral's name for it is "partial 16S ribosomal RNA". It matches the Rfam family "Bacterial small subunit ribosomal RNA", at positions 29 to 507 of the family's 1533-position model. The record is from RNAcentral.
AGUGAACGCUGGCGGUAGGCCUAACACAUGCAAGUCGAACGGCAGCACAGUAAGAGCCUGCUCUUACGGGUGGCGAGUGGCGGACGGGUGAGGAAUACAUCGGAAUCUACUUUUUCGUGGGGGAUAACGUAGGGAAACUUACGCUAAUACCGCAUACGACCUACGGGUGAAAGCAGGGGAUCUUCGGACCUUGCGCGAUUGAAUGAGCCGAUGUCGGAUUAGCUAGUUGGCGGGGUAAAGGCCCACCAAGGCGACGAUCCGUAGCUGGUCUGAGAGGAUGAUCAGCCACACUGGAACUGAGACACGGUCCAGACUCCUACGGGAGGCAGCAGUGGGGAAUAUUGGACAAUGGGCGAAAGCCUGAUCCAGCCAUACCGCGUGGGUGAAGAAGGCCUUCGGGUUGUAAAGCCCUUUUGUUGGGAAAGAAAAGCAGCAGGUUAAUACCCCGCUGUUAUGACGGUACCCAAAGAAUAAGCACCGGCUAACUUCGUG